AAUUACAAGAGGGCAGGGCUUCUGCAGAAGCUGAGCGGUGCUGGCUCAGAGCAGCCAGGGCUUAUCCAAGGAAGGUUCCAACUUCAACUCAUUUUAAACAAAACGUACUAGAAGCCACAAAAUAUCUGAAAUGCGUAUUUCUGUAAAAGAGAAUCCACUGAGUCCUGCGGGCCAGACAGCACAGCCCCGAGGAGACUGGGCUUGCAGAAAGCCUCCCUAAACCCUCCACGCAGCCUCCACGCACCUCUCUGAAGAGUGACCCAUACCUCGUCACCCACUGGCUUCAAGAUCGCCACUGACCCCCCGCCUUUUCCUGCAAGGAGCACCGCAGCCUGCAGGGUCAGCUCCAUCCUCCGGAGUCCUCCGGAUGCAGCCCGGCCUGAAGUCCUUCCUGAACACCUGUCGUCAGGACAUCUGGCCCCGACGGGACCCUCCCUGCCCCUCUAGGCUCCAAGGCGCUAAGGAUCACGAGAGUGCCUGUCUGUCCAGUGGUGUCCCCCUGCCACAGCUGUCGCCCACCCACCUUCAAGCAGAACAGAGCAGAGGGUCGAGUCUCUGUCGCAUCAGCUUUAGAUUCCCGCCUCCCUGUCCUGGGCCGCUCGCCACACCUUCGUCCUGGCGGUUCCCGCCAGCUUGUUCACAAACCGAAGGCCUCGAGUUUCUCUCCCCAGACUGUCCCAGCGUCCCCUUCAGAGAGGAGGCUGGCGUCUGAAGUCCCCCGUCCCAGUUGGAAUUAGCCGCUUCGCCCCAGAAUCUAGCUUGCUCCCCUGGGUCUGUCCCGAAUAGGGACCCGGCCGAAAUGUGUCAUCAUGCAAGACAGUCCUUCCUGGAACUCAAUCUGAGUGGCUUUUGGCAAAAACAGGAGACGAGCAGACAACAUCUUUCCCAACCUUGAUAACCACGUCAAGACGGGGCUCAGGCACUCCUGACCCUCCCCCAAUUAAAUAACCUCAAUUCCUUUCCUCAGAAGGAUCACCUGGAGCUCCCGUGGUGGCUCGGUAGUAACGAACCCAACUAGUAUCCCUGGCCUUGCUCAGUGGGUUAAGGAUCCAGUGUUGCCGUGAGCUGUGGUGUUGGUGGCAGAUGUGGCUCAGAUCUGGCGGAGGCUGAGCUGCAGCUUCAAUUCAACCCCUAGCCUGGGAACUUCCAUACACCAUGGAGCAGAGGCGCGGGGGUGAGACAUCCUGGAGGCCAGCUGGGAGGAGGCCUGUGCUUCCAGGAUGGAGCCCGGAGAGCAAGUCUUCAGUGCAGGUGGCCUGCUUCUCUCAGUCAACCAUGGGGAGCUGCUUAGAGGCUUGGAGCAGGGGAACAGCAAGGUCCCCGUUUUGACCCUGGGAUACAAUGGCUCUGGCCUCAGUUGUAAUUGGGUCCGCGCUGUGUCCUUACGUAGCCAAAUGCCACCCUCCACGCCAAACUGUCACUCUUGUCUCAUUCCACUUUGCCCUCACCACAGGUCUGUGGCAUCACCUUUCUGAUGCACACAGACAACAGUCAACGGAGGGGUGACUUUUCUAGCAACUGUGCAUAUUGUGUUUUUGCUUGGUUGCAGCAUGACAGUGGAAUCUCUCAUAAUCAGCUUCAACUGGUUCCAAGCCAGGGGACCCCCGGGCACUGGCCCAGGAUGGUUGGAGUUCACGCCGGCUUAUGCUGCUGUUCUUGCUGGUGAAUGGUGUCCCCCGCUUCUCUCACAAAUGUCCUGCUUUGGAAAAUAAGUCAUAUGG
RNAcentral lists this long non-coding RNA (1721 nucleotides) under Sus scrofa (pig). RNAcentral describes it as "lncRNA (ENSSSCG00060061419.1)". The record is from RNAcentral. Lineage: Eukaryota; Metazoa; Chordata; Mammalia; Artiodactyla; Suidae.